AUUUAAAUAGUUUAUAAUAAAAUAUAAAUUUGUGGAAUUUAAGAUGUUAAUUUAACUUUAAAUA
RNAcentral lists this transfer RNA (64 nucleotides) under Polypsocus corruptus. RNAcentral's name for it is "tRNA-His". Lineage: Eukaryota; Metazoa; Arthropoda; Insecta; Psocodea; Amphipsocidae. The record is from RNAcentral.